RNAcentral lists this ribosomal RNA (798 nucleotides) under Listeria monocytogenes. Its description in RNAcentral is "partial 23S ribosomal RNA". It matches the Rfam family "Bacterial large subunit ribosomal RNA", at positions 1 to 793 of the family's 2925-position model. The record is from RNAcentral. Lineage: Bacteria; Bacillati; Bacillota; Bacilli; Caryophanales; Listeriaceae.
UUGGUUAAGUUAGAAAGGGCGCACGGUGGAUGCCUUGGCACUAGGAGCCGAAGAAGGACGGGACUAACACCGAUAUGCUUUGGGGAGCUGUACGUAAGCGUUGAUCCAGAGAUUUCCGAAUGGGGGAACCCACUAUCUUUAGUCGGAUAGUAUCCUUACGUGAAUACAUAGCGUGAGGAAGGCAGACCCAGGGAACUGAAACAUCUAAGUACCUGGAGGAAGAGAAAGAAAAAUCGAUUUCCUGAGUAGCGGCGAGCGAAACGGAAAGAGCCCAAACCAAGAAGCUUGCUUCUUGGGGUUGUAGGACACUCUAUACGGAGUUACAAAAGAAAGUUAUAAAUGAAGCGGUCUGGAAAGGCCCGCCAAAGACGGUAACAGCCCGGUAGUUGAAAUGGCUUUCCCUCCAGAGUGGAUCCUGAGUACGGCGGAACACGUGAAAUUCCGUCGGAAUCCGGGAGGACCAUCUCCCAAGGCUAAAUACUCCCUAGUGACCGAUAGUGAACCAGUACCGUGAGGGAAAGGUGAAAAGCACCCCGGAAGGGGAGUGAAACAGUUCCUGAAACCGUGUGCCUACAAGUAGUUAGAGCCCGUUAAUGGGUGAUAGCGUGCCUUUUGUAGAAUGAACCGGCGAGUUACGAUUUGUUGCAAGGUUAAGCGGAAAAAGCGGAGCCGUAGCGAAAGCGAGUCUGAAUAGGGCGCAUAAGUAACAGGUCGUAGACCCGAAACCAGGUGAUCUACCCAUGUCCAGGAUGAAGGUAAGGUAAUACUUACUGGAGGUCCGAACCCACGCACGUUGAA